UAAAAAGCACACAUACCGCGAUUCAACCCCUGCUCACCUACUAUAUGCUUUUUAUUUCUCGUCAGGGUUCAAUCUUUUGCAGCCGCGUUUCGGUAUCACCGACGUUUAUUUUCUAGUCACUCUGAUGUAAAUUCGAAUCACUCGCAACUCGGAUCGCACACAUUUUCUUUGCCAAUCAGAAUCACUACACGUCGCAUAAUUUUACCCUUAGGGUGCAUCUCCUGGAACACGUAGACGUUUUUUGGUCUACAGACUCGCCGAAGAUGAUCUGCCUAAGUAUGGAGCAAGGAAAUAAUGAAGAGCUUCUUAGUAUACUCUACUGUUUUUAAAGACUUCGUCAUAAUCGUAGGAAUUCUAACGUUCUGUAUCUAUACUCAUCGAAACUUUCUUGUGAAAGCACACGCAUCCAAGUACAAAAUAUACAGCCUCUGUUACGAGUUCCAUGUCAAGCGUGAAGUCGAACAGGAUAGAAAUUGAACUUGGAAUACACGCGAGAAGGAAAUUGUUCCACGUUCUCUCGUACGGAAGACGUAUACGAAGUGAUACGACGUCUGCAUCAUGAAGGAGAACGUGUGUAUUCUCAAUACAUAUUGAGGUAUCAUUUAGGAAUUUAUUUAGUCAUCUUUCACGCCAAAAAUACUUACUUGACGAAACAUCUAUAAGUAAUUGUUUCCUUUUUUACGAUUGCCAAGCUCGUACGCGUUUAUUUCU
This 711-nucleotide unclassified non-coding RNA is filed under the name Bombus terrestris (buff-tailed bumblebee). Its description in RNAcentral is "misc RNA ENSBTSG00005021167.1". Lineage: Eukaryota; Metazoa; Arthropoda; Insecta; Hymenoptera; Apidae. The record is from RNAcentral.